CUACAUGGCGGACGGUACGUGGGGGGCUUCGGCCUCGCCGGCUCCUGAGUCCGGUACUGCAACCCGUACCGUCCGCCGCCCCC
This 83-nucleotide non-coding RNA is filed under the name Pseudoxanthomonas sp. OG2. Lineage: Bacteria; Pseudomonadati; Pseudomonadota; Gammaproteobacteria; Lysobacterales; Lysobacteraceae. The record is from RNAcentral.